CAAGGGGUAGUUUAUAAAAAUAUUAAUUUUGGAGAUUAAAGAUAAAGGUUUCUUUUCCUUUGA
Molecule: transfer RNA, 63 nt
Filed under: Eucinetus haemorrhoidalis
Lineage: Eukaryota; Metazoa; Arthropoda; Insecta; Coleoptera; Eucinetidae
Description: tRNA-Pro
Source: RNAcentral